RNAcentral lists this ribosomal RNA (274 nucleotides) under uncultured bacterium. RNAcentral's name for it is "partial 16S ribosomal RNA". It matches the Rfam family "Bacterial small subunit ribosomal RNA", at positions 523 to 796 of the family's 1533-position model. The record is from RNAcentral.
CUACGGAGGGUGCAAGCGUUAUUCGGAAUCACUGGGCGUAAAGGACGCGUAGGCGGGUUGGCAAGUCAGAUGUGAAAUCCUACAGCUUAACUGUAGAACUGCAUUUGAAACUGCUAACCUAGAGUAUGAGAGGGGGAGAUGGAAUUAGUGGUGUAGGGGUAAAAUCCGUAGAUAUCACUAGGAUUACCGAAAGCGAAGGCGAUCUCCUGGAACAUAACUGACGCUAAGGCGUGAGAGCGUGGGGAGCAAACAGUAUUAGAAACCCCAGUAGUCC